CAGCCGCCGCGGUAAUACCCGCAGCCCGAGUGGUGGUCGAUUUUAUUGAGUCUAAAACGUUCGUAGCCGGUCUGAUAAAUCCCUGGGUAAAUCGGGUGGCUUAACCAUCCGAAUUCCGGGGAGACUGUCAGGCUUGGGAUCGGGAGAGGUAUGAGGUACUUCAGGGGUAGGGGUAAAAUCCUGUAAUCCUUGGAGGACCACCGGUGGCGAAGGCGUCAUACUAGAACGAAUCCGACGGUGAGGGACGAAGCCCUAGGUCGCAAACGGGAUUAGAUACCCCGGUAGUCUAGGGUGUAAACGCUGCAGACUAGGUGUUGGAGGCCCUACGGGGGCACCCAGUGCCCGAGAGAAGUUGUUAAGUCUGCUACUUGGGGAGUACGUCCGCAAGGAUGAAACUUAAAGGAAUUGGCGGGGGAGCACCGCAACGGGAGGAGCGUGCGGUUUAAUUGGAUUCAACACCGGAAAACUCACCAAGGGAGACCAUCACAUGAAAGCCAGGCUAAUGACUUUGCUUGAUUCUUGGAGAGGUGGUGCAUGGCC
Molecule: ribosomal RNA, 540 nt
Filed under: uncultured archaeon
Lineage: Archaea
Description: bacterial SSU rRNA
Rfam family: Archaeal small subunit ribosomal RNA
Source: RNAcentral